GAUGAACGCUGGCGGCGUGCCUAACACAUGCAAGUCGGACGGUGCCUUCGGGCACAGUGGCGCACGGGUGAGGAACACGUAGCUGACCUGCCCUGGAGCGCGGGAUGACCCUGGGAAACGAGGGCUAAGACCGCCUACGCUCACGCGCUGUAGAGGCGCGUGAGGAAAACCUACGGGUGCUCUGGGGAGGGGGCGUGCGGCCCAUCAGGUAGUUGGUGGGGUAAGAGCCACCAAGCCGACGACGGGUCGGGGGUCGU
Molecule: ribosomal RNA, 257 nt
Filed under: uncultured bacterium
Lineage: Bacteria
Description: partial 16S ribosomal RNA
Rfam family: Bacterial small subunit ribosomal RNA
Source: RNAcentral